CCCGCUUUCUCCAAUCUGCUAGAC
This 24-nucleotide non-coding RNA is filed under the name Arabidopsis thaliana (thale cress). The record is from RNAcentral. Lineage: Eukaryota; Viridiplantae; Streptophyta; Magnoliopsida; Brassicales; Brassicaceae.